Molecule: RNA transcript, 2222 nt
Organism: Cotesia glomerata
Lineage: Eukaryota; Metazoa; Arthropoda; Insecta; Hymenoptera; Braconidae
Gene: sowah
Gene name: ankyrin repeat domain-containing protein SOWAHB
Exons: 14
Source: RefSeq, a predicted model, not a curated record
UGUCGGUCAGUUUCAGUAAAGAUGGCGACCCCCAGUAGUCUGUCGUUAGAUGAGAUACGUAAAUAUUUAAUUGAAAGUGGAGGUUCUGCUCGCAAUCGUGAUCUAGUUAAACAUUUCAAGUAUUUUUUAACAGAUCCGGAAACGCGAGUCGAGGCGAGAAAUAAAUUCAAGGAAUACGUCAAUGCCUUGGCGACAAUUAAAAAUCAAGAGGGGGAAAAGUAUUUAGUACUUAAAAAAAAGUACAUACACAGUCUUGAUGAUUUAGUAACGUCGUAUCCCUAUGUGGCAUCAAGCACAUCAUUAGAAAGCCCUGAUUUUUUAACACCUACGUCGCCGCUUCGAGAUCCUCCGCCUUACCGUCCACCUCCUCCAGCUCCUCUAAGUCCGUCCAAUUCCGAAAUUAUCCCAUCUCCGUCUCACGUGUCGAGCACUCGAGCUGCUCAAGAUCAAUUAUACUCAAACUCUCCAACUCAUUCAGUUUUUAAUUCAAGUACCUCUAAUUUAAAUAUCACCAUCGAUGAUAGUACUAAUUAUCCUUCCAAUCAAAUUUUUGGCUCUAUUACAAAUAAUUCGAAUUUUGUGACACCGAAUCAACAAAGUCAACAAAAUAUAUCAGAAAUUAAUACGGACUAUACCUCUCCAAUCUCUCCAACCUCUCCAAUAAUAAAUUCACCUCCAGUUCCUCCGCGAAGAAAGAGCCAGGACAAAUUUAAGCUAGAAAAUAAAGAAAAUAUCAGCAAUAAAGGAAAAAAUGAACAGGAAAUUAUCAAGGAAGAUCAAGGACCACCAGAAAGUCUUGGAACAUCUGAGUUACCGAGUGUUAGAGAACGAAUGCAGCGUUUCAAUCGCAUGGCCAGUGAAACUGAUCUCCACGGUCGUCCGAACAGUGCAACAACUCCGACUAAGAAACGUUCUGACAAGGGUACCGAUGAGGAUGACAGUGCUUCCGUUGCAUCUCAACAAUUGGAUGGAAAAGCACGAGAAUGGUUAGUCCGAGCAGCUCAGGGUGACUAUCAAGCACUAGCCAAACUAGCAGCAGAGGAGCCACGUCUGACAAGGCAGAGGGAUCCAUCAUCUGGUUAUACUGCACUGCACUGGGCAGCUAAACACGGGGAUGAAAACAUUGUCAAGUUAAUUGCAGGAACUUACAAAGACUCUAUCAAAAGUGUUAAUGAGACAACGAAUGGGGGAUAUACCGCGUUACAUAUCGCAAUGCAGUUUGAUCACGAGAACAUCUUCAAUCUCCUUGUCCAGGUUUACGGUGCGAAUCAAGAGAUUCGUGAUCACAGUGGAAAAAAAGCUAGACAAUAUUUAGCGUCACAAGAAGCUGCGGUUAGCCAAGAUACUUUUCGCAUAGGGAUUAUUGCGGCUGCUACACUCAGGCAAGUUAAGAAAAAAAGUCAACUAUCUGAUGCUAAUAUAGUAAAGUACGCUUUUAAAGUAUAUUAUGCACGUUUGCUAUUUUUUUUCUUUUUUUGCUAAUAUUAAAAUGUUUACUUCAAUACAUUUUUUUUUUGUGUGUAAUAGUAAUUUAGUAAUUGCUUCUAACAGUUUGGCAUUAAUUUAACAAAACAAUUAGAAUUCAUUUAUUGAAAAAUUAAACCUAUGAUUAAAGGUGCAUUUUUGUUUUUUUCUACGUAGAUAAUUAAUCACGUAACAUUUAUAAAUUUUCUUUGCUUGAGAAAGUGCUUAUAAAUCCAAGUACUCAUAGUUGGAUUUAUAAGUAGACAAGCAAUACUAAAAGUAAAUAAACUGAGUAAUUAUUUAAGGUAAUGUAAAUAAGUAUAAACGCAGAUAUAAUAUACAUUAACAAAAGGCAAAAGCAUUUAAUUUAUUUAAACUCGUAUCCUGAUGAUUUAAUUACUCGAACAAUCUCACUUUAUAUGAUGUAAUUAACGCUAUCAUUCACAUCAUUUUUAUCAAUUAAUUAGACAAUCUAUUAUUUAUUUCGUUAAUUCGUCUGCACAAUACUAUUCUACUAUCAUUCUAUCAAGAAUUGAGAUUCUUAUAAAUAAAUAAAUAAAUAAAUAAAUUAACUUAAUAUUAAUUAAAAUAGAAUUUUUGAAUUGAGGAUUGUUGUUUACCUUCCGUCGAAGAACAAGAGAAAAAAAAAUUUACUACUGACGGGAUAAUGCAAUAAUAUAAUCUAAUUAGUUAGUAAUUAUAUUUACAGUAUAACUUAUAACUAUAAGUAUUUAGUUGGUAAAAUAGGAUCAGGAAUU